Molecule: ribosomal RNA, 253 nt
Filed under: uncultured bacterium
Lineage: Bacteria
Description: partial 16S ribosomal RNA
Rfam family: Bacterial small subunit ribosomal RNA
Source: RNAcentral
UACAGAGGGUGCAAGCGUUAAUCGGAAUUACUGGGCGUAAAGCGCGCGUAGGUGGUUUGUUAAGUUGAAUGUGAAAGCCCCGGGCUCAACCUGGGAACUGCAUCCAAAACUGGCAAGCUAGAGUACGGUAGAGGGUGGUGGAAUUUCCUGUGUAGCGGUGAAAUGCGUAGAUAUAGGAAGGAACACCAGUGGCGAAGGCGAGUCCCUGGACAACUUCUGACGCUGAGGCACGAAAGCUAGGGGAGCAAACAGG